UAAAGAGGAGAUUCGCUGGGAUGGUUUCCUGGACUAGAGCGAUUCAGCUAUGAAGAGAAAGAAGGCCAAAAUAGUUUGCUGAACGUGGAAGUUGACAGUGCAAGAUUUCUCACUUGAGGAGUGCGGAGAAUGGCACCAAGAUCUCUGAGCAGACCUGCAAUUAGCUGG
Long non-coding RNA from Hemiscyllium ocellatum (epaulette shark), 168 nucleotides. RefSeq lists it as uncharacterized. The transcript is spliced from 3 exons. Lineage: Eukaryota; Metazoa; Chordata; Chondrichthyes; Orectolobiformes; Hemiscylliidae. The record is from RefSeq and is a predicted model, not a curated record.